RNAcentral lists this ribosomal RNA (1430 nucleotides) under uncultured prokaryote. Its description in RNAcentral is "partial 16S ribosomal RNA". It matches the Rfam family "Bacterial small subunit ribosomal RNA". The record is from RNAcentral.
GCUGGCGGCAUGGAUUAGGCAUGCAAGUCGAACGAGAAGCUCUAGCUUGCUAGAGUGGAUAGUGGCGAAAGGGUGAGUAACGCGUGAACAAUUUGCCCCUAAGAUGGGAAUAGCCUCGGGAAACUGGGAUUAAUACCGAAUGUGAUCUUCUGUCGCAUGACAGAAUGAUUAAAGAUUUAUUACUUAGGGAUGAGUUCGCGUUCCAUUAGCUUGUUGGUGGGGUAACGGCCUACCAAGGCGACGAUGGAUAGCUGGUCUGAGAGGAUGAUCAGCCACACUGGGACUGAGACACUGCCCAGACUCCUACGGGAGGCUGCAGUCGAGAAUCUUCCGCAAUGGGCGAAAGCCUGACGGAGCAAUGCCGCGUGCAGGAUGAAGGCCCUUGGGUCGUAAACUGCUGUCACCGGGGAAGAACAUAAUGACGGUACCCGGAGAGGAAGCACCGGCUAACUACGUGCCAGCAGCCGCGGUAAUACGUAGGGUGCAAGCGUUGUUCGGAUUUAUUGGGCGUAAAGGGUCCGCAGGGGGUUUACUAAGUCUGAUGUGAAAUCUCAUGGCCCAACCAUGAAACUGCAUUGGAAACUGAAAGACUAGAGUACUGGAGAGGUAAGUGGAAUUCCUGGUGGAGCGGUGGAAUGCGUAGAUAUCAGGAGGAACACCAAGAGCGAAGGCAGCUUACUGGACAGUUACUGACCCUCAGGGACGAAAGCAUGGGUAGCAAACAGGAUUAGAUACCCUGGUAGUCCAUGCCGUAAACGUUGUAUACUAGAUGUGGGAGGAUUUAUCCCCUUCCGUGCCCAAGCUAACGCGAUAAGUAUUCCGCCUGGGGAGUACGGUCGCAAGAUUAAAACUCAAAGGAAUAGACGGGGACCCGCACAAGUGGUGGAGCAUGUGGUUUAAUUCGAAAAUACGCGAAGAACCUUACCUAGCCUUGACAUUGAUUGAAUCCCGCAGAGAUGUAGGAGUGCCCUUCGGGGAACAUGAAAACAGGUGCUGCACGGCUGUCGUCAGCUCGUGUCGUGAGAUGUUGGGUUAAGUCCCGCAACGAGCGCAACCCUCGUCCUUAGUUGCCAGCAGGUUAAGCUGGGCACUCUAAGGAGACUGCCUUCGCAAGGAGGAGGAAGGUGAGGACGACGUCAAGUCAUCAUGGCCCUUAUGGCUAGGGCUACACACGUGCUACAAUGGGGCGUACAGAGAGUUGCGAUACCGCGAGGUGGAGCCAAUCUCAUAAAGCGUCUCUCAGUUCGGAUUGGAGUCUGCAACUCGACUCCAUGAAGCUGGAAUCACUAGUAAUCGUAGAUCAGCAAUGCUACGGUGAAUACGUUCCCGGGUCUUGUACUCACCGCCCGUCACACCUGGGAGUUGAUUUCACCCGAAAUUGGGAAGCUAACCUUCGGGAGGCUACCACUUACGGUGGAAUUAGCGACUGG